UACAGAGGGGGCAAGCGUUAUUCGGAAUUAUUGGGCGUAAAGGGCGCGUAGGCGGUUCUUUAAGUGAGAUGUGCAAUCCCCGGGCUUAACCUGGGAACUGCAUCUCAUACUGGAGAGCUAGAGUGCUGGAGAGGGUGGUAGAAUUCCACGUGUAGCGGUGAAAUGCGUGGAGAUGUGGAGGAAUACCAGUGGAGAAGGCGGCCACCUGGACAGUAACUGACGCUGAGGCGCGAAAGUGUGGGUAGCAAACAGG
This 253-nucleotide ribosomal RNA is filed under the name uncultured bacterium. RNAcentral's name for it is "partial 16S ribosomal RNA". It matches the Rfam family "Bacterial small subunit ribosomal RNA", at positions 524 to 776 of the family's 1533-position model. The record is from RNAcentral.